Molecule: long non-coding RNA, 1379 nt
Filed under: Heterocephalus glaber (naked mole-rat)
Lineage: Eukaryota; Metazoa; Chordata; Mammalia; Rodentia; Bathyergidae
Description: lncRNA (ENSHGLG00100052134.1)
Source: RNAcentral
CUGGAGAUGACAGUGAACAGGGUAGGCUAACAGUGAAUUCUGUGGAAUCACACUAAAAUAUUUCCUAUAACAGGGUAAUGGUUUGAAAUUCUGAUGGUUUCCUGUUUUUUCUUUCUCAUCACCAAGUCAAACAAGAGUAAAAUGCCAUCUGUGCUACUCUUGGGGAAAAGAUAACUUGGUGAAUUUCACUUUCAAAAUAGACUUUUUAAAAUCCAGAGUACAAAAACUGUCACACACUUACUAUAAAAUUCACUUAGUGAAAAGAUUAAGUCUUUUCUUUAACUCUGAAAGUUAACCCUUGAUUAUCAAUGAGUCAAACUUACAAAGCUUGACUUUUUACCAUAAGCCAUCAAGUAGCUGGGACAUAAGAUGUGGGAGGAGCAUAUUCUGUUAUGUAGGACAGACAAAUACCUUCCUGCACUGCGGAAAAACUCAGGAAAAAUCAAAGAUAAGAAACAGGUAUCUGGAUCUCAUAGACAGCCCCACCCCUAAUACUCACCAUGGGGUUGACUGGUGGGGAUGAAAGAGGGUGAUCACAGGGAAGUAGACAAUGGAUCAUCCAGAUGGACUGGAGGAUCUGAGGGCAAAAUGGAGUUAUGCUUAGCUUCCUGCCCAGACUCUGGGGAGUAAAUUCCUGUUGCAUGUUCCUUGCCAACAUAUGACAGUGAAGAGAGCAUGGAAAUGGUAGGAAGACAGGAACUAUCCAGAGAGUGGCUGCCCUCAACUCUGAGCAUACAUCCCUUAUGUGAUACAUAGAAGUCAGGUGCCCUGGCUGGGCAUCUGAAAAAGAUAUGAAGAGAUUUGGUACCUCACAACAACAAAGGACAGCCAUUAUAGGGAAAUGAAGCUAGGCACCAAAUGGCACCCUCCAGUUAAACCCAUAGAAUCUAAAAGUGAUGUACCUGUAUCUUGUGGCCUAUAUGUACAGUGCUGGGCAAACCUUUUUAUCCUAGGACCUCUUCAAACUCUUAACAAGUAUUGGGGACCCCAGCAAGACUUUUCUUGUGUGGCACAUAUCUAUAUACAUUUACUACAUUUGAAAUUAAUGUUGAGGGUGUAGCUCAGUGAUACAGCACUUGCCUAACACAUGUACAACCCCGGAUUCCAUCCCUAGCCUUGCCAAAAAUAAAAGAUAUUUAUUAAUACAUAGGAGAAAUUAGUUUGGUUUUAUAUUACACAAAAAAUGAUUGUAGUCGAUGCUAUUGUAUCACAUACUUCAAAAUAGCUAGAAUAGAGGCUUCUGAAUGUUUUCAUCGUAAAGAAAUGAGAAAUAUUUGAGAUGAUAAUCUAAAUAUCUUUUGAUCAAUACACAAUGUAUAUGUGUACUGAAAUAUCACACUGUACCCUGUAAAGAUGUAUAAUCAUGCUGUCAAUAAAAG